Molecule: ribosomal RNA, 274 nt
Filed under: uncultured bacterium
Lineage: Bacteria
Description: partial 16S ribosomal RNA
Rfam family: Bacterial small subunit ribosomal RNA
Source: RNAcentral
AUACGGAGGGUGCAAGCGUUAAUCGGAAUUACUGGGCGUAAAGCGUACGUAGGCGGUUCGUUACGUUAGAUGUGAAAGCCCCGGGCUUAACCUGGGAACUGCAUUUAAAACUGGCGAACUAGAGUUGAGUAGAGGGGAGUGGAAUUUCAGGUGUAGCGGUGAAAUGCGUAGAGAUCUGAAGGAACACCAGUGGCGAAGGCGGCUCCCUGGACUCAAACUGACGCUGAGGUACGAAAGCGUGGGUAGCAAACGGGAUUAGAAACCCUAGUAGUCC